CUUCCUAUUAAACAUGCUGGCAUACAGCCACAAUUCUUCAGAGAAGCAGGACCUGAAAGGAAAUUGUGGAUUUAUUCUUAAGGGUUUGCACUACCAAACCUUUGGCCAAGUUCUUAACAAAACCGGAAUUUCCUUGUAUAUAAGGAAGGCUCCAGUCCCUCCUGUACUCUCCAGAUUCUAAGAAUUUUUGAGGACUUAUCUAGAGGAGAAACGAGCCAGAAGAUCCCAUGAGGACAAGGCUACUCAGAGCAAUCAAACAUGCUGUGUUAGUCCUUCUAAUAAGAUUAACUUCUUGGUCUCUGUAGUAGCUCCAGCCUUGCAGAUGGCAGAGUGGACUUGGCUGCAGAGGAGUGAGGCCUCCACUUCUGUUCACCCAUGAAGUGCCGGCCAAAGAGGGGAGCCAUGCAGACCUGGGUCUCCUCGCUGAAGACUGGGCUGGCGUAGCUGAAGAUGCAGAUACACAUGUCUGGAAGGAUAACUGGGAUGAUGACAAUGUGAAGAACACUGCUCUACUCAGUAGUGAGCUGCACUGGACAAACACAGUCAGGAGAUGGAGACCUCAUAACCUCUAGAAGUGUUGAAAUAAUCUAAACCUCAACUGAGGAUGGAGAACCCAGGAUGGAAUACAGAAAAAAUAUUUCAUUAUCUACCUGGAUUUAUUUCUUCAUUUUUUAGCACACACACC
Long non-coding RNA from Ochotona curzoniae (black-lipped pika), 685 nucleotides. RefSeq lists it as uncharacterized. The record is from RefSeq and is a predicted model, not a curated record. The transcript has 2 exons. NCBI's taxonomy places the organism in Eukaryota, Metazoa, Chordata, Mammalia, Lagomorpha, Ochotonidae.